Molecule: long non-coding RNA, 591 nt
Organism: Mesocricetus auratus (golden hamster)
Lineage: Eukaryota; Metazoa; Chordata; Mammalia; Rodentia; Cricetidae
Exons: 3
Source: RefSeq, a predicted model, not a curated record
UCCCUUUUGUCCUCUCAGCCAUCAGUUUGGGAUUGAAGAGCUCCCCCUUAUCCGACUUGCCUACUGGUCACAAGAAGUCGGAUGGACAUCCUUCAUCCUGCUCCUGUGUGCUGUUUGCCGUAAGGCUGUUAGAAAUCCUAGGACCAUUUCAUCUCAGUCAGUGGAUCUGAAAGAUUUGGUCUGAGGGUUCAGCUCUGCCCAGGCACCUUGAGUGACUGACUGCUGGAGAGAAGAGAUCCAGGCCUGUUGACAGCAGCAUAUCCCCUUGCACUGUUCCUAACUAUUAUGAUGGAGCCCAAGAUUCAUCUAUCCCUGCUCUUUGACACAUUGACCUGGGAAUGGAGCUUGUCCAUAACCUUCUGUAUUCACCAGAGAUAGGAAUGACUGGCAAGCUAGAUGACUCAGAGAUGUCAUGCUUAUCGAACUCCCUAGAGCUUCUAUUCCUUUUCCUUUUAAUAAUUAAUUUAUUUUUUAUGUGCAUUGGUGUUUUGCCUGCAGGUAUGUCCAUGUGAGGGAGCCAGAUCCCCUAGAAUGAAGUUAUAGACAGUUGUGAGCUGCCAUUUGGGUUUUGGGAAUCGAACUCAGGUCCUC